ACUCCUACGGGAGGCAGCAGUGGGGAAUAUUGCACAAUGGGGGAAACCCUGAUGCAGCCAUGCCGCGUGUGUGAAGAAGGCCUUGGGUUGUAAAGCACUUUCAGUAGGGAGGAAGGUAGUGUAGUUAACACCUGCAUUAUUUGACGUUACCUACAGAAGAAGCACCGGCUAACUCCGUGCCAGCAGCCGCGGUAAUACGGAGGGUGCGAGCGUUAAUCGGAAUUACUGGGCGUAAAGCGCAUGCAGGCGGCCUGUUAAGUCAGAUGUGAAAGCCCGGGGCUUAACCUCGGAAUUGCAUUUGAAACUGGCAGGCUAGAGUCUUGUAGAGGGGUUAGAAUUUCAGGUGUAGCGGUGAAAUGCGUAGAGAUCUGAAGGAAUACCAGUGGCGAAGGCGGCCCCCCUGGACAAAAGACUAGACGCUCAGAUGCG
RNAcentral lists this ribosomal RNA (429 nucleotides) under uncultured bacterium. Its description in RNAcentral is "bacterial SSU rRNA". It matches the Rfam family "Bacterial small subunit ribosomal RNA", at positions 335 to 755 of the family's 1533-position model. The record is from RNAcentral.